Molecule: ribosomal RNA, 392 nt
Filed under: uncultured Gammaproteobacteria bacterium
Lineage: Bacteria; Pseudomonadati; Pseudomonadota; Gammaproteobacteria
Description: bacterial SSU rRNA
Rfam family: Bacterial small subunit ribosomal RNA
Source: RNAcentral
AAUGGAGGAAACUCUGAUGCAGCGAUGCCGCGUGAGUGAAGAAGGCCUUUGGGUUGUAAAGCUCUUUCGUCGGGGAAGAAAAUGACUGUACCCGAAUAAGAAGGUCCGGCUAACUUCGUGCCAGCAGCCGCGGUAAUACGAAGGGACCUAGCGUAGUUCGGAAUUACUGGGCUUAAAGAGUUCGUAGGUGGUUGAAAAAGUUGGUGGUGAAAUCCCAGAGCUUAACUCUGGAACUGCCAUCAAAACUUUUCAGCUAGAGUAUGAUAGAGGAAAGCAGAAUUUCUAGUGUAGAGGUGAAAUUCGUAGAUAUUAGAAAGAAUACCAAUUGCGAAGGCAGCUUUCUGGAUCAUUACUGACACUGAGGAACGAAAGCAUGGGUAGCGAAGAGGAUU